Molecule: ribosomal RNA, 2109 nt
Filed under: Escherichia coli
Lineage: Bacteria; Pseudomonadati; Pseudomonadota; Gammaproteobacteria; Enterobacterales; Enterobacteriaceae
Description: partial 23S ribosomal RNA
Rfam family: Bacterial large subunit ribosomal RNA
Source: RNAcentral
GUUAAGCGACUAAGCGUACACGGUGGAUGCCCUGGCAGUCAGAGGCGAUGAAGGACGUGCUAAUCUGCGAUAAGCGUCGGUAAGGUGAUAUGAACCGUUAUAACCGGCGAUUUCCGAAUGGGGAAACCCAGUGUGUUUCGACACACUAUCAUUAACUGAAUCCAUAGGUUAAUGAGGCGAACCGGGGGAACUGAAACAUCUAAGUACCCCGAGGAAAAGAAAUCAACCGAGAUUCCCCCAGUAGCGGCGAGCGAACGGGGAGCAGCCCAGAGCCUGAAUCAGUGUGUGUGUUAGUGGAAGCGUCUGGAAAGGCGCGCGAUACAGGGUGACAGCCCCGUACACAAAAAUGCACAUGCUGUGAGCUCGAUGAGUAGGGCGGGACACGUGGUAUCCUGUCUGAAUAUGGGGGGACCAUCCUCCAAGGCUAAAUACUCCUGACUGACCGAUAGUGAACCAGUACCGUGAGGGAAAGGCGAAAAGAACCCCGGCGAGGGGAGUGAAAAAGAACCUGAAACCGUGUACGUACAAGCAGUGGGAGCACGCUUAGGCGUGUGACUGCGUACCUUUUGUAUAAUGGGUCAGCGACUUAUAUUCUGUAGCAAGGUUAACCGAAUAGGGGAGCCGAAGGGAAACCGAGUCUUAACUGGGCGUUAAGUUGCAGGGUAUAGACCCGAAACCCGGUGAUCUAGCCAUGGGCAGGUUGAAGGUUGGGUAACACUAACUGGAGGACCGAACCGACUAAUGUUGAAAAAUUAGCGGAUGACUUGUGGCUGGGGGUGAAAGGCCAAUCAAACCGGGAGAUAGCUGGUUCUCCCCGAAAGCUAUUUAGGUAGCGCCUCGUGAAUUCAUCUCCGGGGGUAGAGCACUGUUUCGGCAAGGGGGUCAUCCCGACUUACCAACCCGAUGCAAACUGCGAAUACCGGAGAAUGUUAUCACGGGAGACACACGGCGGGUGCUAACGUCCGUCGUGAAGAGGGAAACAACCCAGACCGCCAGCUAAGGUCCCAAAGUCAUGGUUAAGUGGGAAACGAUGUGGGAAGGCCCAGACAGCCAGGAUGUUGGCUUAGAAGCAGCCAUCAUUUAAAGAAAGCGUAAUAGCUCACUGGUCGAGUCGGCCUGCGCGGAAGAUGUAACGGGGCUAAACCAUGCACCGAAGCUGCGGCAGCGACGCUUAUGCGUUGUUGGGUAGGGGAGCGUUCUGUAAGCCUGCGAAGGUGUGCUGUGAGGCAUGCUGGAGGUAUCAGAAGUGCGAAUGCUGACAUAAGUAACGAUAAAGCGGGUGAAAAGCCCGCUCGCCGGAAGACCAAGGGUUCCUGUCCAACGUUAAUCGGGGCAGGGUGAGUCGACCCCUAAGGCGAGGCCGAAAGGCGUAGUCGAUGGGAAACAGGUUAAUAUUCCUGUACUUGGUGUUACUGCGAAGGGGGGACGGAGAAGGCUAUGUUGGCCGGGCGACGGUUGUCCCGGUUUAAGCGUGUAGGCUGGUUUUCCAGGCAAAUCCGGAAAAUCAAGGCUGAGGCGUGAUGACGAGGCACUACGGUGCUGAAGCAACAAAUGCCCUGCUUCCAGGAAAAGCCUCUAAGCAUCAGGUAACAUCAAAUCGUACCCCAAACCGACACAGGUGGUCAGGUAGAGAAUACCAAGGCGCUUGAGAGAACUCGGGUGAAGGAACUAGGCAAAAUGGUGCCGUAACUUCGGGAGAAGGCACGCUGAUAUGUAGGUGAAGUCCCUCGCGGAUGGAGCUGAAAUCAGUCGAAGAUACCAGCUGGCUGCAACUGUUUAUUAAAAACACAGCACUGUGCAAACACGAAAGUGGACGUAUACGGUGUGACGCCUGCCCGGUGCCGGAAGGUUAAUUGAUGGGGUCAGCGCAAGCGAAGCUCUUGAUCGAAGCCCCGGUAAACGGCGGCCGUAACUAUAACGGUCCUAAGGUAGCGAAAUUCCUUGUCGGGUAAGUUCCGACCUGCACGAAUGGCGUAAUGAUGGCCAGGCUGUCUCCACCCGAGACUCAGUGAAAUUGAACUCGCUGUGAAGAUGCAGUGUACCCGCGGCAAGACGGAAAGACCCCGUGAACCUUUACUAUAGCUUGACACUGAACAUUGAGCCUUGAUG